UGGGCGGGACGGGUGAGUAAUGUCUGGGAAACUGCCUGAUGGGAGGGGGUAACUACUGGAAACGGUAGCUAAUACCGCAUAACGUCGCAAGACCAAAGAGGGGGACCGUUCGGGCCUCUUGCCAUCGGAUGUGCCCAGAUGGGAUUAGCUAGUAGGUGGGGUAACGGCUCACCUAGGCGACGAUCCCUAGCUGGUCUGAGAGGAUGACCAGCCACACUGGAACUGAGACACGGUCCAG
RNAcentral lists this ribosomal RNA (238 nucleotides) under uncultured bacterium. RNAcentral's name for it is "partial 16S ribosomal RNA". It matches the Rfam family "Bacterial small subunit ribosomal RNA", at positions 100 to 334 of the family's 1533-position model. The record is from RNAcentral.